Molecule: ribosomal RNA, 427 nt
Filed under: uncultured bacterium
Lineage: Bacteria
Description: partial 16S ribosomal RNA
Rfam family: Bacterial small subunit ribosomal RNA
Source: RNAcentral
UGGGGAAUAUUGCACAAUGGGCGCAAGCCUGAUGCAGCCAUGCCGCGUGUAUGAAGAAGGCCUUCGGGUUGUAAACUACUUUCAGCGGGGAGGAAGGCGAUAAGGUUAAUAACCUUGUCGAUUGACGUUACCCGCAGAAGAAGCACCGGCUAACUCCGUGCCAGCAGCCGCGGUAAUACGGAGGGUGCAAGCGUUAAUCGGAAUUACUGGGCGUAAAGCGCACGCAGGCGGUCUGUCAAGUCGGAUGUGAAAUCCCCGGGCUCAACCUGGGAACUGCAUUCGAAACUGGCAGGCUAGAGUCUUGUAGAGGGGGGUAGAAUUCCAGGUGUAGCGGUGAAAUGCGUAGAGAUCUGGAGGAAUACCGGUGGCGAAGGCGGCCCCCUGGACAAAGACUGACGCUCAGGUGCGAAAGCGUGGGGAGCAAACA